AAGCUGGUUCUUUAUGUGGAAGCACUAGCUCAUGUCAUUCACAAGCACCAACUAUCAGAAACUACAACUCCUCCACACAAAGCACCUUUUUCUCUACAAGGUUUUGCUCCACCCUGGUCAAUCAAUAUUCACAAGACAACACUUUUUUCCACUAGAACAUCCUUGUCGUCACACCAUACUGAACAGGUCCAACUUUUCUAUGAGCAGUGACACCAGCACCAGCACCUGCACUAAUACCACCAUAUUGAGCCUUCGGCUGCAGCAAGUUUGUGUCAAUAGCUAUCCGAUCAUCUCGUUCUAUCUUGUUCACUCCUGCCCUUGUCAUGAAAAAGGGGUUAGUAUCGAUAUUAAUAGCUACAUCUGUUGCUAUUCUGGCAUUGACACCACAUUGCUGUUGAGCAUGGUUUGCUUGUAAAGACACACCCUUAUCAGCUUCUAUUGGUGCUGGCUCUUCUUGAUUUCCAGAGCUAGAUCUUUGAUAAUAAUAUGUCGGUGGUAUAGGUCGGGAAGGAAGAACAGAACCUCUUAUGAAUGUCCUUGGAUCAUAAGAAUCCUUGACGACACUCGCAUACUCGUAUGGAACAACUGGCCCAACAACUUUACCAGGUUUUACUGAAAAUAAAAAUGUUAGUGUUUAUUACUGAUGUAAUAUACAUAUUAAUUUUAACAAACUUAUGAUAAUGAUCACAUACCCAAUGGAAUUCUUUGCAUUCCCUGAAUGGACCUUGCCACGGGGUUUUCCGCAUCUCUAGGAAUGUUAUUAUAUUCUUCAGCUGUUUGACGGUUUUUGGAGGAAGCAAUAUUUGAUUGCUGUUUUGGCAGUGCCAUAUUCGAAUGUACAAUUGUUGACCUAUCAAUAAUCCGAAAAAUAUCAGUAUGAUAUCCUCUAACUAUGCUCAUUAUGAAUGAAAACAAUGGUAAAUCAUGGAAACAAAUGCAGCUUGGAGUAUGCGAGAACUAUUUUGGUCCCGUGCUUGUGAUGUCAUCCCACACCAUGCUAAGACAUAGAAGAACAGGUAAAUAGAUGGUUGGAAAUGCAAUAAGAAAAGGGCUUCAUAGAUGAUAAUUUACCACAAUAUAAACCCUGGACUAUCAAAGAAAUAUUAAGCCUGAAUAAAAGGGUAUUUGCAACUCUUGCAUGUAGUGGACUAAUCCACACUACAAUUGACUACUUCCGUACUUCGGCACUGUAUCCUAUGUAAAAACAUUUAGAUUGAUUAAGAGUGCCCAUGUUAAGAGGAUUAUUUGUCACAAACACUUUUAUUUUGAUAAAACAUGUUUUUGAUAUCUUAUCAGUUGUUUGGUUAGGAUUAAAAAAAACUAUUCAUACAAAAUAAACAUUUAGAAAAAAUGACUCUAACAUGGGAGAAAUUAGAAUCACUCAUCAAACUUGCAGCCAAGCACAAAAUAGUUUCUGAUUUUACAUAAAUCAUUUUUGUCAAGAUUUCAGAAAAAACAAUUUCCAAAGGAUAAACAAACAGGCCCUAAAUUAGAACUAAUUUUGCAUCACCAGAGCCAGCUGCUAUAUACUAGUUUCGUUUCACAUAUGCAUCAUUUCAAUGCAUCUCAUGCGAGUGUAUUUAACAUUAAUCUUAAGUAUGUAUGAUACAUCAUAGUAACCUUUUACAAACAAUCUAUGAUUGCAACAAAUGAUAAGCAAAAUCCAAGGAGAUAGUACAUUGAUCAAUUACCUGGGAAGUGAUGCAUGCUUUCUUUCAAGUGGCAUGACUGGACUACUUUUACCACCAUUUUCUUCAAGAUGAGCAAACUGGUUUUUGAACUGAUCCACAGCACUGUGAAGAAUAAGCACCAACAAAUGAUAAGGAGAGAAUGAUAGAAGAGAAAUGUGAAUAACCAAUUAAGGGAAAAAGGACAAACAUUGGAAAUAAACCAAAAAAUAAAAACCUUGGAUAAAGAAAAUUAGUUCUCUCUGUUCCAUUUAAGUAGUCUUUCAGCAGUUGAGGAUGGUACUCUAGAAUCUCGCGGAAAAUAAGCUCUCGGAUUUCUUCCUUUGUGACUCUUCUCCUUUCAAAUUCAAACUCCAUUUUCGUAAUAGGCUGGCAAGAUGGCUCCCUCUCAAUUCGUGAGAGUCCCUUGAAGUAAGGAUCAGCUAAUGCCUGAAAAAAACCAAACGUUUCAAAAUUCUAAAACAGGGAGUAAAUAUUGUAUCUGUAUAGUAAUAUACUUGCUCUAUGAAUUAUACCUUCUUUUGUCCAAACGAAGAGCAUAAGCUAAAAACCACUUAACUAUCCAACUAAAAUAAUUCUCAUUACAUAUACAUGAGAAAUAGACCAAAAUAAAACAAACCUCUUCGGCAGUAGGUCGGUCCUUCGGAUCAAAAGCAAGCAAUCUUUCCAAUAGUCGGAUAAGUUAGAUACAUCCAGAGAAUGCAAUGAUUCUGUACUAUACAAUAAUUUAUUGCCACCCAGUGGGGAAAUUAGUGGUCCAAGUUAGUCUACACAAAUACCUGAAUAUUAUUUUACUAAAUCUUAUUUCCACCGAGAGAAUGAGAGAUUAUUUUGAUAUUUAAACUAUAUACCUCUUUAUAUAGUGUUCUUUUAAGUUAAUUCAAUGAACAUAUUUAAGGAAAAAAAUGUUACAAUAAUUAUAAAAUACAAAUAAAAGUUACAAAGAUUAUGUGGUAUAUGACAAUUUGUGAGUGUAAAGUUGAUUGAUACUCCAUUAGUGAUACCAAUUAAGGUUCUCUAUUAUCUAUUUUUAAGAAUUAAUUUCGUUUUUAUUAACCUUUUGAAAGUUAAAAAAACAUCAUCAACUUAUUAACAAUUAUGACUUUUAUAGUAAGAGAUAAUUGAUGAAAUUAUUAAUGAUGGCUGAUGAAUAGAUGAAUGACAAAUAUAAAAAAAUAAAAUUUUAUCGAAACUAUAUAUAUUAGUGUAUAUAUUUAUAUGCUAAUAAGAAAGAUAUAACAGUAAGAUUAUUUCUAAAGAUACUUUACUAAUAGUCCUAUGGUGGAAAUUGAGAGGAGUAAAGAUAUUCUCUAUUAAUGGAUAGAUAAAUACAACAAAAAAUAAAGGAAAUAAUAAUAUCAUAAAACAUUUGCAUCUUUUAUAUAUAAUGUCAUAAUAUUUUUGUUAUUGAAAAUACGGGUAAAAUUAAAUAUUUGUCUCUUUAUUAACGUGAAGAUACUUAUUCUAUCAAAAGAGGUGAGGUGAGGUGGUUGUGUUUCCAAUAAGGAAACCAUGGGUGAGUUGGGUUAUUGGGCCAAGAAGAUCAUUUGUCCUAUUUAUGUUCUAAUUAGUGUACCAGACCAAUUAAAAUGUAUCAUUAAGUUAAAUAGAAAAACUAUAAAUGAAUAAUUAUAUUACUUGUUAUACUUUGAUUGGAUAGAGACACGAAGAGACACAGUUUUUUGGGAUAGGUGAUCUGGGUUCAUUGGGUCAUUACCAUUGUAUUUACUAAUCUUAGUCCCACACCGUUUUCUUGUCACAUUCACACACUACAUCCUCUCUCUUUUUUAAUAAAUAAAUCAUACCCUCCAUAUUAAUUUCCCAUUCCUUCAUAUAUUUUUUUCUUUCAAUUUUGUUAAUGAGAAUCCAUACCCACAUUUAUAAUUUAUGAGAGAGCUAGCUAACUAUAUAAUUGAAUAUUGCAUAUAUAUAUAUAAUUGCUGAGUGUUUUUCUUCAACUUUAUAGCAUCCCUUGUUUCUCUUUUGUUUGAACAUGCAAAGAUACCAAAACCAUCUUUUGACACAAGAAAUGAAAGUCUCUCACAUGGUAGGGCUCUAUUGAUUCAUAAUAACAUGUUUCUAUUUCCACCAAAGCUAAAAGUUAGUAAUAAAAAUAUACAAUGAAGGUUUAAUGUUCUUUGAUUAUCCUUAAAAAGUUAUUAAAUUCCAAUGUAGUAAAUAUAAAGGGACACCUAUGUUUUAUCAAAGAUUGUUCCUUUUGAACAGUAUACAUGGAAAAUUGAGCAAAGUUGAAUUACUAAUCUUAAUCAAAGAACAUUCUCUGUAUGAAUGAACUAGAGAAAAAUACUUACUGCAACAAUAUCAUUGAUCAGAAUAUUUUUUGUUUAAUAUAUAAGUACAUAAAAGAAAAGUAAAUGCAUGCAGUAGAAGAGUAGGUGAGAAAUAUUGAUACAUUUUGAUUUUCUGAACUUGUUUAACUUAAUGAUCAUCACAUGAACUGACACAGAAAUUAAAUCUGUGAGCCCCUCUAUCUGCAAUUUGCAGCUAUUGCGCUUGCAUGUUGUAAAUGUCAAAUAAUAUCAACAAAGAAAAAGGAUUCAAAUGCAUUAUCUCAACCAUGUGUUUCAAUAUAUGGUAGUGGCAGGAGUUAUUCAUCAGAUUCUCUCAUAGCUUUGUAAUAAGUCUCUUUCCAUCACACUUUCCACUAUGUUCAUCUUAAAGCCACCCUCUACACACAUGUCAAUCUCAUAAAAAAUGUUUAUGUACCUGAUGAUAAUGUAAAGGAGUGUGUGGUUGCCUCUCCCAACAAAUAUUGUUCACUGAAAUAAUCAUGUUACUGUUUGUUUGUUUUAAUUUGUUUUUUUAAUAUAAGGAAAUGAUAUAUAAGUUUAGAAUAUAUAAGGAAUCUUUUUGUUUAAAUAGUGUUUACUCAUUUUCAAUGUUGUUUUUGUUAGCAAAAUUUUAAUACAAAAUAAUAAAGCAAAUGCUACUGAAGCAAUAAAUCUCUUCUACCCUUUCCCUUUGGUGUGUGCACCCUUUAGCCCAAAAUAUGAAAGAGUGGUGAUAUUGGUAUACUUUCAUACACACUUCAUAUUUCUUUCUAUCUCUCUUUCUUAUAAUAUUAUCGAUCGACAUUUCUGACACAUGAAAUAACACAUGUUAUGGGAUCAAAGAUAUACUCCCCUCUUUACAUAUGGAGUUGUAUAAUUUUCCUAGUAUGAAUCCAAAAUUUUAUAUUUAUGCUAAUACAUGAUGUCAUAGGUUCAAAUCCUAGAAACAAUAUUACUGCUUGCAAGAGAUAAGAUUGCAUGCAACUACCCUCGUCAGACCUCACUAAAUUAGAGUCUCUAUAAGGUACCAUUCAUGCUCACCAAUAAAAAUAUAAAGAAAGAUAAAUAGCCAAGUGAAAUGGAAGUUAACUAUGAGUUAUUAUGAAUAAAAUGACAUUAUUGAUAGACUUUAGUUCUUAUUCUGUCAAAUGUUUGCUCAAGUUUUGCACAUUAGUGUCAAAUGAUGAACAAUCUCUAAAUGUCAAGGAAUUAUAUGGGAACACAGAAUGGUGUUUAUAGAAUUACUAGGACUCAAUUUCAAUUGUACAAUUUCUUCAUAUGUUGUGUCCAAAGUUAAUAGCUGUUUAACCAGAGAAAGCUGGUUCUUUAUGUGGAAGCACUAGCUCAUGUCAUUCACAAGCACCAACUAUCAGAAACUACAACUCCUCCACACAAAGCACCUUUUUCUCUACAAGGUUUUGCUCCACCCUGGUCAAUCAAUAUUCACAAGACAACACUUUUUUCCACUAGAACAUCCUUGUCGUCACACCAUACUGAACAGGUCCAACUUUUCUAUGAGCAGUGACACCAGCACCAGCACCUGCACUAAUACCACCAUAUUGAGCCUUCGGCUGCAGCAAGUUUGUGUCAAUAGCUAUCCGAUCAUCUCGUUCUAUCUUGUUCACUCCUGCCC
Molecule: long non-coding RNA, 5612 nt
Filed under: Lupinus angustifolius (narrow-leaved blue lupine)
Lineage: Eukaryota; Viridiplantae; Streptophyta; Magnoliopsida; Fabales; Fabaceae
Description: long non-coding RNA (LANG_LNC001741)
Source: RNAcentral